ACCAACAGAUGGCAAUUUGGAGACCCGUAGAUCUGUACGGCUUGUCAAGAAGAAGACCAAGGGCGUCAACAGCCUAUACCCCGCUGCUUAGAAAUCUGCUGGCAAGUCUCUUCUUUCUAGUGUUUUAUGAUUCAUGAUAAUUGCUUAGAAAAUUUUAGUUACUUGGAGCUGCUAGUUUCUUAGAUGUAUAAACUUUCUAUCCAUGCCUAGCCUUCGUUGUCAUGUUAAGCAAUGUAUUUAUGUUAUCCUGAAAUGUUACCACUUGACUAUUGUUGCAUUAGACACCUCCCUGUUAGUCCAUUUUAUUUCAUUAUGCACAAAGUGGAAGAAGAAAAUUCUGAUGUUGAACUACAUCCAUCCUGAUCCUUUCUUUGUUUUCUCUAUAUGAACUAGAAAUGCCACAUGAAGAACUAAGGAUAUCAAGAAGCUUUUGGAUGUAUGCAAGCUUGGAGCUGUUGUUUUAUAGGUAUAUUAACCACUGUAUUUGUCCUGCAAUAUGUUUGAGCUUAUGCAUGAAUUUUGAUUCACAUUUUUCACCGUGGAUUUUCCUUUUGUAUGACAAUUGACAAAUGGCUAGUCCAAGCCAACAGUGGGCUGUUUGUGUCUAUGUUGCUUUCUUUGUAUCCUUAGAGUUUUGUUGUGCUGGAGUAAAAACUGUAAACUAUAAUUCAUCAUUCUAGUAUAUGGAGGCAUUUUACCUUUGCUCCUGAAGCUUUUUGGUGAAUAUAAAACUACAUUGCUGUAGUAGAUUUGUUAUUUGAUUCAUGAGCAUGCAUAAAUUUGACUAUUGUUCUACUAGCGACUUGUCCUGUUAGUCCAUUUUAUUUUUAAUGCACAAAGUGGCAGAAAAUAAUUCCGAUGCAGAACUACCUCCAUCCUGACCCUUCCUCUAUUUUCUCUAAACCAGAAAUGGCACUUGAAGAAUAACCAAGGGUAUCAAGAAGCUUUUGGAUGUAGGCAAGCUUGGAGCUGCUGUUUCAAUGUCAUGCUUUGAUAGUUGUCUUUUGGAGCUGUUGUUUCUAUGUGUAAUACUUUAAGUCUGUUGGCUGUACCGGACUAUUUA
This 1063-nucleotide long non-coding RNA is filed under the name Triticum aestivum (bread wheat). RNAcentral describes it as "long non-coding RNA (TAES_LNC014105)". The record is from RNAcentral. Lineage: Eukaryota; Viridiplantae; Streptophyta; Magnoliopsida; Poales; Poaceae.